This 374-nucleotide ribosomal RNA is filed under the name uncultured bacterium. Its description in RNAcentral is "bacterial SSU rRNA". It matches the Rfam family "Bacterial small subunit ribosomal RNA", at positions 29 to 399 of the family's 1533-position model. The record is from RNAcentral.
AACGAACGCUGGCGGCGUGGAUAAGACAUGCAAGUCGAACGAGAGUUUGUUUAUAGCAAUAUGAGCGAACUUUAGUGGCGAAAGGGUGCGUAACACGUGGCUAUCUACCUCGAAGUGGGGGAUAUCUCCGAGAAAUCGGAGUUAAUACCGCAUGUGACCGCAAGGUCAAAGCGGGGGAUCGAAAGACCUCGCGUCUGAAGAGGAGCCUGCGGCGGAUUAGCUAGUUGGAAGGUAAUGGCUUACCAAGGCUACGAUCCGUAACCGGCCUGAGAGGGCGGUCGGUCACACUGACACUGACAUACGGGUCAGACUCCUACGGGAGGCAGCAGUCGGGAAUUUUGGGCAAUGGGCGAAAGCCUGACCCAGCAACGCCG